RNAcentral lists this transfer RNA (69 nucleotides) under Ictidomys tridecemlineatus (thirteen-lined ground squirrel). RNAcentral's name for it is "Spermophilus tridecemlineatus (thirteen-lined ground squirrel) tRNA". It matches the Rfam family "tRNA". Rfam says of the family: Transfer RNA (tRNA) molecules are approximately 80 nucleotides in length. Their secondary structure includes four short double-helical elements and three loops (D, anti-codon, and T loops). The record is from Rfam by way of RNAcentral. RNAcentral also lists the same sequence under 1 other name. Lineage: Eukaryota; Metazoa; Chordata; Mammalia; Rodentia; Sciuridae.
GGGGUUGUAGCUCAGUGGUAGAGUGCUUGCCUCGAAUGCGUGAGGCCCUGGGUUCGGUCCCCAGCACCA